Molecule: ribosomal RNA, 429 nt
Filed under: Chloroflexota bacterium
Lineage: Bacteria; Bacillati; Chloroflexota
Description: Chloroflexi bacterium partial 16S ribosomal RNA
Rfam family: Bacterial small subunit ribosomal RNA
Source: RNAcentral
UAGGGAAUCUUCGGCAAUGGACGAAAGUCUGACCGAGCAACGCCGCGUGAGUGAAGAAGGUUUUCGGAUCGUAAAACUCUGUUGUUAGAGAAGAACAAGGACGUUAGUAACUGAACGUCCCCUGACGGUAUCUAACCAGAAAGCCACGGCUAACUACGUGCCAGCAGCCGCGGUAAUACGUAGGUGGCAAGCGUUGUCCGGAUUUAUUGGGCGUAAAGCGAGCGCAGGCGGUUUCUUAAGUCUGAUGUGAAAGCCCCCGGCUCAACCGGGGAGGGUCAUUGGAAACUGGGAGACUUGAGUGCAGAAGAGGAGAGUGGAAUUCCAUGUGUAGCGGUGAAAUGCGUAGAUAUAUGGAGGAACACCGAUGGCGAAGGCAGGUCUCUGGGCAGUUACUGACGCUGAGGAGCGAGAGCAUGGGUAGCGAACAGG